CCCCAUGAUGAUGAAGAGAUUGUCUCCUGUAUCCUUGCUGGCCUUGACAUCGAAUACAAUCCUCUGGUGUCGGUCAUAGCAGCACGGGCAGAACCAAUCUCCCGGAGCAAGUUUAAUGAUCAACGACUCAGUUUUGAGA
Molecule: small nucleolar RNA, 139 nt
Organism: Phragmites australis (common reed)
Lineage: Eukaryota; Viridiplantae; Streptophyta; Magnoliopsida; Poales; Poaceae
Product: small nucleolar RNA Z247
Exons: 1
Source: RefSeq, a predicted model, not a curated record